UAGGGAAUCUUCCACAAUGGACGCAAGUCUGAUGGAGCAACGCCGCGUGAGUGAAGAAGGUUUUCGGAUCGUAAAGCUCUGUUGUUGGUGAAGAAGGAUAGAGGUAGUAACUGGCCUUUAUUUGACGGUAAUCAACCAGAAAGUCACGGCUAACUACGUGCCAGCAGCCGUGGUAAUACGUAGGUGGCAAGCGUUGUCCGGAUUUAUUGGGCGUAAAGCGAGCGCAGGCGGAAGAAUAAGUCUGAUGUGAAAGCCCUCGGCUUAACCGAGGAACUGCAUCGGAAACUGUUUUUCUUGAGUGCAGAAGAGGAGAGUGGAAUUCCAUGUGUAGCGGUGGAAUGCGUAGAUAUAUGGAAGAACACCAGUGGCGAAGGCGACUCUCUGGUCUGCAACUGACGCUGAGGCUCGAAAGCAUGGGUAGCGAACAGG
This 429-nucleotide ribosomal RNA is filed under the name bacterium. RNAcentral's name for it is "partial 16S ribosomal RNA". It matches the Rfam family "Bacterial small subunit ribosomal RNA", at positions 355 to 776 of the family's 1533-position model. The record is from RNAcentral.